AACUGAUACUACCUGCGGGAACCUGCGGAAGGAUCAUUACUGAGUGAGGGCCCUCUGGGUCCAACCUCCCACCCGUGUUUAACGAACCUUGUUGCUUCGGCGGGCCCGCCUCACGGCCGCCGGGGGGCAUCCGCCCCCGGGCCCGCGCCCGCCGAAGACACCUGUGAACUCUGUCUGAAGUUGCAGUCUGAGAAACUAUUUAAAUUAGUUAAAACUUUUAACAACGGAUCUCUAGAUCGG
RNAcentral lists this unclassified non-coding RNA (240 nucleotides) under soil metagenome. RNAcentral's name for it is "partial contains 5.8S ribosomal RNA, internal transcribed spacer 2, and large subunit ribosomal RNA". The record is from RNAcentral.